AUGUUUAAUGACUGCAUCGCGGACCUUGGCCUCCGCGAGAUAGAUCGGGUUGGUGCCAGAUUCACCUGGACCAACCGGCAGGAGUCCCCGACCCAGUCCGUUCUGGACCGGGUCCUAGUUUCCCUCGAGUGGGAUCUCCGCUGCCCUCUGGCCUCCCUUCGGGUGAUCACCCGGAUUGGCUGCGAUCACGUCCCCCUCCUCCUGUCCUCCGCUGACGAACGACCACCGAUUCCCCCUCGCUUCUGUUUUGAGACAUUCUGGUUGUCCCAAACUGGUUUCGUUGCGGUAGUGGUCGCGCGUUGGGUGGAGGCGCGUGCCCACCCCCACCCCCGUCCCCCCUCGGCCAUUGAUGUAUGGCGGCUCUGUGCUAAACGGGGACAAUAGUUUAUGAAGGGGUGGGGUGCCAACCUUAGGCGUGAUCUCCGUGAAUGCAAGAAGGCCCUGUUGACUGCCAUCCAGGCCCUUGACCUGCGUGCGGAUGUUGUUGGCCUCUCCCCCGGGGAGUGGCUCUCCCGCUGUGACUUAGAAGACCAACUCUCCGUCAUCUACAUCGACGAGGAGGCCUACUGGCGCUUGCGGGGCUCCCAGAAAUGGGUCCUGCAAGGGGACGCGAACACUGCUUACUUUCAGGCCAUUGCGAACGGCCGCCGUAGGCGCAACACCAUCCCACUCCUUUGGGAUGGCGGGACCCUCCUUCGGUCCUCUAGAGACAUUAGAGCCCACGUCAACGGGUUCUACCGGGCCUUGUUCUCCCCCGCUCCUCGGAGUGGCCUCUCCCUUGCCCUUGAUUGCUGGACUGGCAACCGGCGUGUCUCCGCCGCGGAGAACGUGGCCCUCACGGCCCCGUUCUCGGAGGGCGAGGUUUGGGCCGCCAUUAGUACCAUGAACCCUUCAUCGACUCCUGGUCUGGAUGGCCUCCCGGUUAAGUUCUUCCAGUCCUUCUGGAAUGUGAUUAAACCUGGGAUCAUGGCCAUCUUCGAUGGGUUCUACAUUGGCUCCAUCGACCUUGGACGCCUUAACUAUGGGAUCAUCUCGCUCAUCCCCAAAGUUUCUGGGGCCUCCGACAUCCGCCAGUUCCGCCCAAUCACGGUUAUCAACGUGAUUUUCUGGAUCCUGGCCAAAGGGUACGCCAAUAGGGCGACCCGGCUGGCCGAUCACAUUACCAACUCCAACCAGACCACCUUCAUUCAAGGGCGGUAUAUUAUGGAUGGGGUGCUGGUCCUCCACGAAGUCCUUCAUGAGGCCCGGUCUAAGCACCUCAGCGUGGUCUUCCUUAAGAUUGAUUUCCAUAAGGCUUAUGACACUGUUAGUUGGCCCUUCCUUCGGGAAGUUUUGCUGAAAGGAUCGAGAAGAGGUGUCUAG
This 1362-nucleotide ribosomal RNA is filed under the name Triticum aestivum (bread wheat). RNAcentral describes it as "partial small subunit ribosomal RNA". The record is from RNAcentral. Lineage: Eukaryota; Viridiplantae; Streptophyta; Magnoliopsida; Poales; Poaceae.